RNAcentral lists this transfer RNA (69 nucleotides) under Apistus carinatus (ocellated waspfish). Its description in RNAcentral is "tRNA-Arg". It matches the Rfam family "tRNA". Rfam says of the family: Transfer RNA (tRNA) molecules are approximately 80 nucleotides in length. Their secondary structure includes four short double-helical elements and three loops (D, anti-codon, and T loops). Further hydrogen bonds mediate the characteristic L-shaped molecular structure. tRNAs have two regions of fundamental functional importance: the anti-codon, which is responsible for specific mRNA codon recognition, and the 3' end, to which the tRNAs corresponding amino acid is attached (by aminoacyl-tRNA synthetases). tRNAs cope with the degeneracy of the genetic code in two manners: having more than one tRNA (with a specific anti-codon) for a particular amino acid; and 'wobble' base-pairing, i.e. permitting non-standard base-pairing at the 3rd anti-codon position. The record is from RNAcentral. Lineage: Eukaryota; Metazoa; Chordata; Actinopteri; Perciformes; Apistidae.
AGGCAAUUAGUUUAAAUAAAACAUUUGAUUUCGGCUCAAAAACUUGCGGUUAGAGUCCGUAAUUACCUA